RNAcentral lists this long non-coding RNA (247 nucleotides) under Salvia miltiorrhiza (redroot sage). Its description in RNAcentral is "long non-coding RNA (SMIL_LNC012904)". The record is from RNAcentral. Lineage: Eukaryota; Viridiplantae; Streptophyta; Magnoliopsida; Lamiales; Lamiaceae.
CCAUUUUCAAAUUUCAGACAGACAUCACCUUUACCCAAGAUAUCACAACUCUGACCAUCAGCCAAAGAAACAUGCCCAGACUUGACCAACUGAAGGUUUUGAAACAUAUGCUCAAAAGGGGUCACAUGAAAGGUACAACCAGAGUCAAUCAGCCACUCAUUUGAACUUACAGAUUUAGACACAGCAUUUGAGUAAUUUAUAAACUGAAAAUCAUAGUCAUGUACCAUAUAGACACCAUCUUCUUCAA